This is an RNA transcript of Cercocebus atys (sooty mangabey), 7106 nucleotides long. It is a transcript of the gene named plexin A3, with no coding region annotated. The record is from RefSeq and is a predicted model, not a curated record. Lineage: Eukaryota; Metazoa; Chordata; Mammalia; Primates; Cercopithecidae. The transcript is spliced from 33 exons.
GGGCCCGGGGCUCCGGCAGCCCGGGGGUCCGACUCGGCCUGUGGGGGUCAGGCCCUACCCCUGCCCGUCGGCGCCGGCCUGCCCGGCCCUGCGUGGUGGGGACGCCAACCCAAGACCAGCCCCUUGCCCAAAGAGGACCCUUUGUCGCAGGGGAGCGGCCCCUCGGAGGAUCAACGCUGUACUUCCCUCCCGCUAAGGGCUCCGCGAGUCCGCCGAGGGGUGCCCUGAUGGGGCCCGGGCAAACUGGACCAGCAGCACAGUGGGGGGUGUUGGGGGGCGUCCGCUGGACCCGCGUCUCUGCGUGGGGCUGCCCCGUCCUCAGGCUUUCUGCUGGCCCAGCUGUACCUGUGAUGCCCGAGGUUGCCACUUACAGGUGGGGGCUGGGCCUGAAAUUCUGCCUCCCCAGGUCUCCCUCCCUACCUGUCCCCAGCCUAUUCCUAGGCUUGUGUUCCCGGGGUGUAGAGGAGGCCUGUCCCCCGGCGCGGUUGCCGGCCAUGCCCUCUGUCUGCCUCCUCCUGCUGCUGUUCCUUGCCGUGGGGGGGGCCCUGGGCAGCAGGCCCUUCCGUGCCUUUGUGGUGACAGAUACCAAGCUUACCCACUUGGCUGUGCACCGGGUGACUGGGGAGGUGUUCGUGGGCGCAGUGAACCGAGUCUUUAAGCUGGCCUCCAACCUGACUGAGCUGCGGGCCCAUGUCACGGGGCCCAUCGAGGACAACGCUCGCUGCUACCCACCCCCCAGCAUGCGCGUGUGUGCCCACCGCCUGGCCCCCGUGGACAACAUCAACAAGCUGCUGCUCAUAGACUAUGCGGCCCGCCGCCUGGUGGCCUGCGGCAGCAUCUGGCAGGGCAUCUGCCAGUUCCUGCGCGUGGACGACCUCUUCAAGCUGGGUGAGCCGCACCACCGCAAGGAGCACUACCUGUCGGGGGCCCAGGAGCCUGACUCCAUGGCUGGUGUCAUUGUGGAGCAGGGCCAGGGGCCCAGCAAGCUGUUCGUGGGCACUGCUGUCGACGGCAAGUCGGAGUACUUCCCCACCUUGAGCUCCCGCAAGCUCAUCAGUGAUGAAGACAGCGUGGACAUGUUCAGUCUCGUGUACCAGGAUGAGUUUGUCUCCUCCCAGAUCAAGAUUCCCUCGGACACGCUGUCCUUGUACCCUGCCUUUGACAUCUACUACAUCUACGGCUUCGUCAGCGCCUCCUUCGUGUACUUCCUGACGCUGCAGCUGGACACCCAGCAGACGCUGCUGGACACAGCGGGCGAGAAAUUCUUCACGUCCAAGAUCGUGCGCAUGUGCGCUGGGGACUCAGAGUUCUACUCAUAUGUGGAAUUCCCCAUCGGCUGCUCCUGGCGUGGUGUGGAGUACCGCUUAGUGCAGAGCGCCCACCUGGCCAAGCCUGGCCUGCUGCUGGCCCAGGCCCUGGGCGUGCCGGCUGACGAGGACAUCCUCUUCACCAUCUUCUCUCAGGGCCAGAAGAACCGAGCCAGCCCACCCCGGCAGACCAUCCUCUGCCUCUUCACUCUCAGCAACAUCAAUGCCCACAUCCGGCGCCGUAUCCAGUCCUGCUAUCGCGGGGAGGGCACCCUGGCCCUGCCCUGGCUGCUGAACAAGGAGCUGCCCUGCAUCAACACUCCCAUGCAGAUCAACGGCAACUUCUGCGGGCUGGUGUUGAACCAGCCUCUGGGAGGCCUGCACGUGAUCGAGGGGCUGCCCCUGCUGGCCGACAGCACCGACGGCAUGGCCAGUGUGGCCGCCUACACCUACCGCCGGCAUUCUGUGGUCUUCAUUGGCACGCGCAGCGGCAGCCUGAAGAAGGUGCGGGUCGAUGGCUCCCAGGAUGCCCACCUGUAUGAGACGGUCCCCGUGGUGGAUGGCAGCCCCAUCCUCCGAGACCUGCUCUUCAGCCCGGACCACCAGCACAUCUAUCUCCUGAGUGAGAAGCAGGUGAGCCAGCUUCCAGUGGAGACCUGUGAGCAGUACCCGAGCUGCACGGCCUGCCUGGGCUCCGGGGACCCACACUGUGGUUGGUGUGUGCUGCAGCACAGGUGCUGCCGCGAAGGGGCCUGUCCGGGCGCCUCUGCCCCGCACGGCUUUGCUGAGGAACUGAACAAGUGUGUCCAGGUGCGGGUCCGGCCCAACAAUGUGUCAGUGAUGUCGCCUGGGGUGCAGCUGACCGUCGCCCUGCAUAAUGUGCCGGACCUCAGUGCAGGCGUGAGCUGCACCUUCGAGGAGGUGGCGGAGAGUGAGGCGAUCCUGCUGCCCUCUGGUGAACUGCUCUGCCCCUCACCCUCCCUCCAGGAGCUCCGAGCUCUUACCAGAGGGCAUGGGGCCACCCGCACCGUGCGGCUGCAGCUUCUCUCCAAGGAGACAGGCGUGAGGUUCGCCGGUGCUGACUUUGUCUUCUACAAUUGCAGCGUUCUCCAGUCGUGCAUGUCCUGUGUUGGCAGCCCCUACCCCUGCCACUGGUGUAAGUACCGCCACGCUUGUACCAGCCGCCCCCAUGAGUGCUCCUUCCAGGAGGGCAGGGUCCGCAGCCCUGAGGGCUGCCCUGAGAUCCUGCCCAGUGGGGACCUCCUGAUCCCCGUUGGGGUCAUGCAGCCUCUUACCUUGCGGGCUAAGAACCUACCUCAGCCGCAAUCGGGCCAGAAGAACUAUGAGUGCGUGGUGCGGGUGCAGGGGCGGCAGCAGCGGGUGCCUGCCGUGCGCUUCAACAGCAGCAGUGUGCAGUGCCAGAAUGCCUCGUACUCCUAUGAAGGUGAUGAGCAUGGUGACACCGAGCUGGACUUUUCCGUGGUCUGGGAUGGAGACUUCCCCAUAGACAAGCCUCCCAGCUUCCGAGCCCUCCUGUACAAGUGCUGGGCGCAGCGGCCUAGCUGUGGCCUCUGCCUCAAGGCUGAUCCCCGCUUCAACUGUGGCUGGUGCAUCUCAGAGCACAGGUGCCAGCUGCGGACCCACUGCCCAGCCCCAAAGACCAACUGGAUGCAUCUGAGCCAGAAGGGCACCCGGUGCAGCCACCCCCACAUCACGCAGAUCCACCCUCUUGUGGGGCCUAAGGAGGGAGGCACCCGGGUCACCAUCAUGGGUGAGAACCUGGGCCUCUUGUCCCGAGAGGUGGGCCUGCGGGUGGCUGGUGUGCGUUGCAACUCUAUCCCGGCCGAGUACAUCAGUGCUGAGAGGAUCGUGUGUGAGAUGGAGGAGUCGCUGGUGCCCAGCCCACCGCCGGGGCCCGUGGAGCUGUGCGUGGGUGACUGUUCAGCUGACUUCCGCACACAGUCGGAGCAGCUCUACAGCUUUGUGACCCCAACAUUUGACCAAGUGAGUCCCAGCCGUGGCCCGGCGUCAGGGGGCACACGGCUCACCAUCUCAGGCAGCUCUCUGGAUGCUGGCAGCAGGGUCACAGUGACUGUGAGGGACAGCGAGUGCCAGUUCGUAAGGAGAGAUGCCAAGGCGAUCGUGUGCAUCUCACCCGUCUCCACCCUGGGCCCCAGCCAGGCCCCCAUCACACUUGCCAUUGACCGGGCUAACAUCUCCAGCCCCGGAGUCCUCUACACCUACACUCAGGACCCGACCGUCACCCGCCUUGAGCCCACCUGGAGCAUCAUCAACGGAAGCACCGCCAUCACUGUGAGCGGGACACACCUGCUAACGGUCCAGGAGCCCCGGGUCCGUGCCAAGUACCGUGGCAUCGAGACCACCAACACAUGUCAGGUGAUCAACGACACUGCCAUGCUGUGUAAGGCCCCCGGCAUCUUUCUUGGGCAGCCCCAGCCUCGGGCGCAAGGCGAGCACCCUGAUGAGUUUGGUUUCCUGCUGGACCACGUGCAAACUGCCCGCUCCCUCAACCGCUCCUCCUUUACCUACUACCCUGACCCCAGCUUUGAGCCGCUGGGGCCCUCUGGUGUGCUGGAUGUCAAACCGGGCUCCCACGUGGUGCUGAAGGGCAAGAACCUGAUUCCCGCAGCAGCCGGCAGCUCCCGCCUCAACUACACUGUGCUGAUAGGAGGCCAGCCGUGUGCGCUCACUGUCUCGGACACACAACUCCUGUGCGACUCACCCAGCCAGACUGGCCGGCAGCCUGUCAUGGUGCUGGUGGGUGGCCUGGAGUUCUGGCUGGGCACCUUGCACAUCUCGGCAGAGCGGGCACUGACCCUGCCGGCCAUGAUGGGGCUGGCAGCGGGGGGCGGGCUCCUGCUGCUGGCCAUCACAGCUGUGCUGGUGGCCUACAAGCGCAAGACUCAGGACGCGGACCGCACCCUCAAGCGCCUGCAGCUGCAGAUGGACAACCUGGAAUCCCGUGUGGCUCUGGAGUGCAAGGAAGCUUUUGCAGAGCUGCAGACAGACAUCAACGAGCUGACUAACCACAUGGACGAGGUGCAGAUCCCCUUCCUGGACUACCGGACCUAUGCCGUGCGCGUGCUCUUCCCAGGCAUCGAGGCCCACCCGGUGCUCAAGGAGCUGGACACGCCACCCAAUAUGGAGAAGGCCCUGCGCCUCUUCGGGCAGCUGCUGCACAGCCGCGCCUUCGUGCUUACCUUCAUCCACACGCUGGAAGCCCAGAGCAGCUUCUCCAUGCGCGAUCGCGGCACCGUGGCCUCGCUCACCAUGGUGGCCCUGCAGAGCCGGCUCGACUAUGCCACGGGGCUGCUCAAGCAACUGCUGGCUGAUCUCAUCGAGAAAAACCUGGAGAGUAAGAACCAUCCCAAGCUGCUGCUACGCAGGACAGAGUCAGUGGCCGAGAAGAUGCUUACCAACUGGUUCACGUUCCUGCUGCAUAAGUUUCUGAAGGAGUGUGCUGGGGAGCCUCUCUUCCUGCUUUACUGCGCCAUCAAGCAGCAGAUGGAGAAGGGCCCAAUCGAUGCCAUCACGGGCGAGGCGCGAUACUCCCUGAGCGAGGACAAGUUGAUCCGGCAGCAGAUUGACUACAAGACACUGACCCUGCACUGCGUGUGUCCGGAGAACGAGGGCAGUGCCCAAGUCCCAGUGAAGGUUCUCAACUGUGACAGCAUCACCCAGGCCAAAGAUAAGCUGCUGGACACUGUGUACAAGGGCAUUCCGUACUCCCAGCGCCCCAAAGCUGAGGACAUGGACCUGGAGUGGCGCCAGGGCCGCAUGACUCGCAUCAUCCUCCAGGAUGAGGAUGUCACCACCAAGAUCGAGUGUGACUGGAAGAGGCUCAACUCACUGGCCCACUACCAGGUGACAGAUGGUUCCUUGGUGGCACUGGUGCCCAAACAAGUAUCUGCCUAUAACAUGGCCAACUCCUUCACCUUCACCCGCUCCCUCAGCCGCUACGAGAGCUUGCUCCGCACAGCCAGCAGCCCUGAUAGCCUCCGCUCACGGGCACCCAUGAUCACGCCUGACCAGGAGACGGGCACCAAAUUGUGGCACCUGGUGAAAAACCACGACCAUGCCGACCAUCGUGAGGGGGACCGUGGCAGCAAGAUGGUCUCCGAGAUCUACCUGACACGGCUGCUGGCCACCAAGGGCACACUGCAGAAGUUCGUGGAUGACCUCUUUGAGACAGUGUUCAGCACAGCCCACCGGGGCUCAGCCCUGCCCCUGGCCAUCAAGUACAUGUUCGACUUCCUGGACGAGCAGGCCGACCAGCGCCAGAUCAGCGACCCCGACGUGCGCCACACCUGGAAGAGCAACUGGUAUCGCCCUGUGCUGGGCUGCCAGCAACCUGUCUGGAGAUGGCCUGCCGCUGCGCUUCUGGGUGAAUGUGAUCAAGAACCCGCAGUUCGUGUUCGACAUCCACAAGAACAGCAUCACGGACGCCUGCCUGUCGGUGGUAGCCCAGACCUUCAUGGACUCCUGCUCCACAUCCGAGCACCGCCUGGGGAAGGACUCGCCCUCCAACAAACUACUCUAUGCCAAGGACAUCCCCAACUACAAGAGCUGGGUGGAGAGGUAUUAUCGAGACAUUGCAAAGAUGGCAUCCAUCAGUGACCAGGACAUGGAUGCUUACCUGGUGGAGCAGUCCCGCCUCCAUGCCAGCGACUUCAAUGUCCUGAGUGCACUCAGCGAGCUCUAUUUCUAUGUCACCAAGUACCGCCAGGAGAUUCUCACGGCUCUGGAACGAGAUGCCUCUUGUCGGAAGCAUAAGUUACGGCAGAAACUGGAACAGAUCAUCAACCUCGUGUCCAGUGACAGCUAAGGGUGGUGGAAUUGGUGAGGAGGGGCUUCUCAGUCCUGAGUCGUCCUCCCAUCCAGGGAGUGGCUGGCUUGAGCGUGGGUCCCCGGGCUGAGCCCUGGAUUGGGUAUCAUGGAGCAGGUCACCCUGGCCAGGAUGCCCCCAGCACACCCAGGCCCCCUUCAUUAGUGCCUUGCUUUGGGCCCUGCAGGGGGAGGGGUGACAGGAUGAGCCCCCAUCCCAGCAGCAGCAAUACCCCCACCCUCCUGCCCUGUGCCCAGGUGUUGGGACAGACCCGCCCUCCCUGCUAUUUAUAUCCCUCUGCCUAUUUAUUGAAUCAAACUCCGCCUCCGUCUCCAUCUGUAAAUAUGUGUCCCCCACGGGAUGUCGCCAGCCUCACUCACCUGCCUGUUCUUGAGCUGUCCUGGGCCCUGCCACCCGUCUGGGCUCCUUUGUGUAGCAUUAUCAGCCUUGGUCUGGCCUCUGGCACCUCACCCCUGCCAUGGCUGACCCCACCCAUUCCAAGGCGGGGUCACGGUACCAGUGGCACUUGGGGUGAGGUCUCCAAAGCUUCCUCAGAAUUGUGGCUGUGCCACACUGGGCCACAGGGUCCCCCUCAAGCACCUUGGGGCCCUCUUCUCGCUGAGCAUCUGGAGGACUGGACCCAGGCUUGUGCCAGGGCCUGACUUAGGCCUAGGGGCCCCAGAAUGCUGCUCCUCCUGAGCCUACUGCCAAAUGUCCUCAGUGUUGUCUGCACCUGCUCCGACUCACUCAGCCGCCCCAUUCAGCGCCCGCUCCGUCCAGCGCCCGCCCUGAGGGGCCAAGGCGGCCGUGCCUUACUAUUCCGUGUCUUCUGCCUCCUCUGAGGAAUCUGACCCUGUCUCACGGUCCCAGACCCCCCAUUCUCUCCUCUUAGUUGCAUGACUUUUUCUUUGUUCAUGGAAUGUUUUUUCCUAAUUAAAUGUUGGGAAAAUGCC